AUUGAACGCUGGCGGCAGGCCUAACACAUGCAAGUCGAACGGCAGCGGGGGGUAGCUUGCUACCCCGCCGGCGAGUGGCGGACGGGUGAGUAAUGCCUGGGGAGCUGCCCAAUCGAGGGGGAUACCAGUUGGAAACGACUGCUAAUACCGCAUACGCCCUGAGGGGGAAAGGUGGGGAUCUUCGGACCUAUCGCGAUUGGAUGCACCCAGGUGGGAUUAGCUAGUUGGUGAGGUAACGGCUCACCAAGGCGACGAUCUCUAGCUGGUCUGAGAGGAUGACCAGCCACACUGGAACUGAGACACGGUCCAGACUCCUACGGGAGGCAGCAGUGGGGAAUAUUGCACAAUGGGGGAAACCCUGAUGCAGCCAUGCCGCGUGUGUGAAGAAGGCCUUCGGGUUGUAAAGCACUUUCAGCGAGGAGGAAAGGGUGGCAGCUAAUACCUGUCAUCUGUGACGUUACUCGCAGAAGAAGCACCGGCUAACUCCGUGCCAGCCGCCGCGGUAA
Molecule: ribosomal RNA, 506 nt
Filed under: uncultured bacterium
Lineage: Bacteria
Description: partial 16S ribosomal RNA
Rfam family: Bacterial small subunit ribosomal RNA
Source: RNAcentral